UGGGGAAUUUUGGACAAUGGGCGAAAGCCUGAUCCAGCAAUGCCGCGUGUGUGAAGAAGGCCUUCGGGUUGUAAAGCACUUUUGUCCGGAAAGAAAUCCUUGGCUCUAAUACAGUCGGGGGAUGACGGUACCGGAAGAAUAAGCACCGGCUAACUACGUGCCAGCAGCCGCGGUAAUACGUAGGGUGCAAGCGUUAAUCGGAAUUACUGGGCGUAAAGCGUGCGCAGGCGGUUUGUUAAGACCGAUGCGAAAUCCCCGGGCUCAACCUGGGAACUGCAUUGGUGACUGGCAGGCUAGAGUAUGGCAGAGGGGGGUAGAAUUCCACGUGUAGCAGUGAAAUGCGUAGAGAUGUGGAGGAAUACCGAUGGCGAAGGCAGCCCCCUGGGCCAAUACUGACGCUCAUGCACGAAAGCGUGGGGAGCAAACAGGAUUAGAUACCCUGGUAGUCCACGCCCUAAACGAUGUCAACUAGUUGUUGGGGAUUCAUUUCCUUAGUAACGUAGCUAACGCGUGAAGUUGACCGCCUGGGGAGUA
This 534-nucleotide ribosomal RNA is filed under the name uncultured bacterium. Its description in RNAcentral is "partial 16S ribosomal RNA". It matches the Rfam family "Bacterial small subunit ribosomal RNA", at positions 355 to 882 of the family's 1533-position model. The record is from RNAcentral.